RNAcentral lists this non-coding RNA (25 nucleotides) under Rattus norvegicus (Norway rat). The record is from RNAcentral. Lineage: Eukaryota; Metazoa; Chordata; Mammalia; Rodentia; Muridae.
UGGAAGAAGAAUGGUUAGUCUUAUU